This 258-nucleotide ribosomal RNA is filed under the name uncultured bacterium. RNAcentral describes it as "partial small subunit ribosomal RNA". It matches the Rfam family "Bacterial small subunit ribosomal RNA", at positions 26 to 285 of the family's 1533-position model. The record is from RNAcentral.
AGGACGAACGCUGGCGGCGUGCUUAACACAUGCAAGUCGAGCGGUGAUCCUCCUUCGGGAGGUGAUCAGCGGCGAACGGGUGAGUAACACGUGGGCAACCUGCCCCUCACACUGGGAUAACCUCGGGAAACCGGGGCUAAUACCGGAUACGACCUCGAGCGGCAUCUCUUGAGGUGGAAAGCUCCGACGGUGAGGGAUGGGCCCGCGGCCUAUCGAGCUUGUUGGUGGGGUAAUGGCCUACCAAGGCGACGACGGGUA